Molecule: small nuclear RNA, 20 nt
Filed under: Arabidopsis thaliana (thale cress)
Lineage: Eukaryota; Viridiplantae; Streptophyta; Magnoliopsida; Brassicales; Brassicaceae
Description: snRNA_14936
Source: RNAcentral
UGGCGCUUAAGCGCGCGACC